CCUACGGGUGGCAGCAGUGGGGAAUAUUGGACAAUGGGGGGAACCCUGAUCCUGCCAUGCCGCGUGUGUGAAGAAGGCCCUCGGGUUGUAAAGCACUUUCAGUGAGGAAGAACGCCUGGUGGUUAAUACCCAUCAGGAAAGACAUCACUCACAGAAGAAGCACCGGCUAACUCCGUGCCAGCAGCCGCGGUAAUACGGAGGGUGCGAGCGUUAAUCGGAAUUACUGGGCGUAAAGCGCGCGUAGGUGGCUUGAUAAGCCGGUUGUGAAAGCCCCGGGCUCAACCUGGGAACGGCAUCCGGAACUGUCAAGCUAGAGUGCAGGAGAGGAAGGUAGAAUUCCCGGUGUAGCGGUGAAAUGCGUAGAGAUCGGGAGGAAUACCAGUGGCGAAGGCGGCCUUCUGGACUGACACUGACACUGAGGUGCGAAAGCGUGGGUAGCAAACAGGAUUAGAUACCCUAGUAGUC
This 465-nucleotide ribosomal RNA is filed under the name Vreelandella stevensii. RNAcentral describes it as "partial 16S ribosomal RNA". It matches the Rfam family "Bacterial small subunit ribosomal RNA", at positions 338 to 795 of the family's 1533-position model. The record is from RNAcentral. Lineage: Bacteria; Pseudomonadati; Pseudomonadota; Gammaproteobacteria; Oceanospirillales; Halomonadaceae.